This 497-nucleotide ribosomal RNA is filed under the name uncultured bacterium. RNAcentral's name for it is "partial 16S ribosomal RNA". It matches the Rfam family "Bacterial small subunit ribosomal RNA", at positions 28 to 507 of the family's 1533-position model. The record is from RNAcentral.
GAUGAACGCUGGCGGCGUGCCUAAUACAUGCAAGUCGAGCGAACAGACGAGGAGCUUGCUCCUCUGAUGUUAGCGGCGGACGGGUGAGUAACACGUGGAUAACCGACCUAUAAGACUGGGAUAACUUCGGGAAACCGGAGCUAAUACCGGAUAACAUGUUGAACCGCAGGGUUCAACAGUGAAAGACGGUCUUGCUGUCACUUAUAGAUGGAUCCGCGCCGCAUUAGCUAGUUGGUAAGGUAACGGCUUACCAAGGCAACGAUGCGUAGCCGACCUGAGAGGGUGAUCGGCCACACUGGAACUGAGACACGGUCCAGACUCCUACGGGAGGCAGCAGUAGGGAAUCUUCCGCAAUGGGCGAAAGCCUGACGGAGCAACGCCGCGUGAGUGAAGAAGGUCUUCGGAUCGUAAAACUCUGUUAUUAGGGAAGAACAAAUGUGUAAGUAACUAUGCACGUCUUGACGGUACCUAAUCAGAAAGCCACGGCUAACUACGUG